This 497-nucleotide ribosomal RNA is filed under the name uncultured bacterium. Its description in RNAcentral is "partial 16S ribosomal RNA". It matches the Rfam family "Bacterial small subunit ribosomal RNA", at positions 28 to 507 of the family's 1533-position model. The record is from RNAcentral.
GAUGAACGCUGGCGGCGUGCCUAAUACAUGCAAGUCGAGCGAACAGACGAGGAGCUUGCUCCUCUGACGUUAGCGGCGGACGGGUGAGUAACACGUGGAUAACCUACCUAUAAGACUGGGAUAAAUUCGGGAAACCGGAGCUAAUACCGGAUAAUAUAUUGAACCGCAUGGUUCAAUAGUGAAAGACGGUUUUGCUGUCACUUAUAGAUGGAUCCGCGCCGCAUUAGCUAGUUGGUAAGGUAACGGCUUACCAAGGCAACGCUGCGUAGCCGACCUGAGAGGGUGUUCGGCCACACUGGAACUGAGACACGGUCCAGACUCCUACGGGAGGCAGCAGUAGGGAAUCUUCCGCAAUGGGCGGAAGCUUGACGGAGCAACGCCGCGUUAGUGAUGAAGGUCUUCGGAUCGUAAAACUCUGUUAUUAGGGAAGAACAAAUGUGUAAGUAACUAUGCACGUCUUGACGGUACCUAAUCAGAAAGCCACGGCUAACUACGUG